RNAcentral lists this ribosomal RNA (728 nucleotides) under uncultured eukaryote. Its description in RNAcentral is "SSU rRNA". It matches the Rfam family "Eukaryotic small subunit ribosomal RNA", at positions 83 to 822 of the family's 1831-position model. The record is from RNAcentral.
GAAACUGCGAAUGGCUCAUUAAAACAGUUAUAGUUUAUUUGAUAAUCGAAUUUACAUGGAUAACCGUGGUAAUUCUAGAGCUAAUACAUGCUGGUUAGCCUGACUUUUAGGAAGGGCUGUAUUUAUUAGAUAACAAACCAAUAUUCCUUGUGUCUAUUGUGAUGACUCAUAAUAACUGAUCGAACCGCAUGGGCUUUGCCCGCGAUAAAUCACUCAAGUUUCUGCCCCAUCAGCUUUCGAUGGUAGUGUAUUGGACUACCAUGGCUUUAACGGGUAACGGAGGAUUAGGGUUCGAUUCCGGAGAGGGAGCCUGAGAAACGGCUACCACAUCUAAGGAAGGCAGCAGGCGCGUAAAUUACCCAAUCCUGAUUCAGGGAGGUAGUGACAAGAAAUAACGGACCGAGGCAAUUGCCUCGGGACUGCAAUGAGUAGAAUUUAAACCCCUUUACGAGGACUCAUUGGAGGGCACGUCUGGUGCCAGCAGCCGCGGUCAUUCCAGCUCCAAUAGCGUAUAUUAAAGUUGUUGCAGUUACAAAGCUCGUAGUUGGAUCUCUGGGGAGGGCGCCAAUGCCCCGCUUGUUAGCGUGUGCAGCGGGUGCCCCCCCAUCCUUCUGUCCACGUUUCUUGGUAUUCAGUNACUGGUUUCGGGCUCAGAUAUUUUACCUUGCAGAAAAUUAAAGUGUUUCAGGCAGGCUUGCCCCGGCAAUACUUANCAUGGAAUAAUAGAU